GACGAACGCUGGCGGCGUGCUUAACACAUGCAAGUCGAACGGAAAGGCCUCUUUCGGGGGGUCCUCGAGUGGCGAACGGGUGAGUAACACGUGAGUAUCCUGCACUUGACUUUGGGAUAACUUCAGGAAACUGGGGCUAAUACCGGAUAGGAGCUCCUGCUGCAUGGUGGGGGUUGGCCAGUUUCGGCGGUUUGGGAUGGACUCGCGGCUUAUCAGCUUGUGGGUGGGGUAGUGGCUUACCAAGGGUUUGACGGGUAGCCGGCCUGGGAGGGUGACCGGCCACAGUGAGACUGGGACUGGGACCAGGCCCCGACUGGUGGGGGAGGGAGGAAAGGGUGAUCUAGGAGAAGGGGCCUGAUGCUGAAACGCCGUGGGCGGGAGGACGGCGUAGGGGUUGGAAACGGAAUGCGCUCAUGACGGGGCUUUUUGUGACGGUAGUGGGAAAAGAAGCACCGGCUAACUACGUG
This 467-nucleotide ribosomal RNA is filed under the name uncultured bacterium. Its description in RNAcentral is "partial 16S ribosomal RNA". It matches the Rfam family "Bacterial small subunit ribosomal RNA", at positions 28 to 507 of the family's 1533-position model. The record is from RNAcentral.